RNAcentral lists this long non-coding RNA (2024 nucleotides) under Physcomitrium patens. RNAcentral's name for it is "long non-coding RNA (PPAT_LNC014167)". The record is from RNAcentral. Lineage: Eukaryota; Viridiplantae; Streptophyta; Bryopsida; Funariales; Funariaceae.
UAAUUCUCAAAAACAAAGUCAUUAAAAUCAAAUCUUGACUUUGUAUAGCUCUCACAAAGUCUAUACAAAUUCAGCUUGCCCAAAACUAAUGCAUGUAGAACUCCUCUUAAGUUUUCUUUCUAAUCCUACUUUCUAAUCAAUAAAAUAACUUUGCAUUUGUCAUAAACACAUAAUUUGGUGCCUUGGGAUUUGAUUUUGAUCCUAGUUCACAAAUGGUGGUUGAAUAUCAAUCUAAGUUUUUUUGAUAAAUGUGAUGAAUACUACCUUUAACUUUCACCUAAAAAUGUAUUUAGUAGUUUUUUUGCUUAAUCUAUCUUAUCUCGUUUUGUCUAUGGCCCUUCAAACUAAAUAAGACACCUAAGCUACCCUCAUCUCUUGAUCCUUCAUGCAAAUAUGUUAAGUUCAAUCUCCGCAAUUUAACAAUUCACUAUCACAAUUUCCAUCUAAUCUUGAGAUCACCAGCUUGCUUACCAACACUACCGAUCUGUAGCCAUGAAAUGGCUUCCCUUCAGUCCAAAAGCCAAUACGGAGUCAAAGCUCAAUUGGCCUUCCAUGUUCUGACCAAUUUACACAGAUGUACUACUUAAGUUAUGAAUCUGUAGGGUCUCCAAACUUACAAGUUCUUUGAGAUGAUCGGAAAUUGUUUUGUCAGUGGGUUCGGUGGUGGCGGGUCAACCAAGUGAUUCGCCAUAAGAGUCCACCUUUAAUAGCAGUCAUGAACUCCAAUAAGUAAUAUUGGGCUCUGUGAGAAGCAAGCUAACUAAUGCAGACAGCUCCAAUCGGGUCCAGGUGAUCAAACAGUAGUGGAAAAAAGGGUUCAGUGUUCUAUGUACAUGCAUCCCAUGGUGCGUUAGUAAUAUGCGUGGUAAACAGCACUCUGAAAUUUUAUUUAGUGUAGAGACCACAGAAAAGCCAAAAACAAUCGUCUACGACAGGUCCACUUACACUGAAUACAUUUGGUAGCAAGAACUACGAUAAUGUGAAAUCUAAAUCACAACAGGUGCUGCAACACUGCCUGGGUAUCUAUUGACCUCUCUCCGGUUACACCCAGAUGCUUUUCCUUUGUCUUCCACACAAAUAAUCCAUUCACGUAAAUAGGUAUCAAUCAUAAGCAGUAUGACGGUCUAAUGACAAUGAUUUGAGAAAAAGCGUAUAAUGUGAAAUCUAAAUCACAACAGGUGCUGCAACAGUGCCUAGGUAUCUAUUGACCUCUAUCCGGUUUCAAAAUCGACCUUUUAGUAUUCAUGCAACUAUCGCACUAACAAUCAAAAGUCGCAAUGUCAACUACUAUUCUGACAAUAAGUGAUCAGAGGAGAACAUAGCAAAGAAUAUUAAUAAAGUGAAUUAUCUUAGCAGACUGCAAUACAAUUCAUGAGCAAUGUUUUAUUCAGAAAUCCUCAUCUGCAAGGGUGGGGCGGGUGACAGGUACCGCCCAACGCCCCAAGUGAGCUGUGUAAUUUAAGCAUCUGACUAUCCCCUUACCCGAGGAGCCAUCAGGAAAGUCAAUGACGCUCAAGCUGCCCGUGUCUAGGUGGUAGGAUCCCAAGGCAGCCUGCGUGAGGCCAAGACAAUGCGCCACCAUUGCAACAUGUACAGUUGGGUGAGAGACCACUACCACUGUACGUUCUUGGGACUCUUUAGAAUCUGCUGCGGGUACGUUGCCGAGCUCAGCUACCACCUCCUGCCAUGCCUGGCCCGCUCGCUCCCAUAAAGAGGAGAGGCUCUCGGCUCCAGGGACAUCUUCGUGUUGCAGGUAGUCUUGCCAACGCUCUCGCUCCAACACAGUUUCCUUUGACUUCCCCUGUGUGAAAGAAACGUGCCACUAAACGAACAGGAAAAACAAAAUAAAGAUAAAAAGACAGAAAAAAACCAAUAACUACAGCAAAACAAUCCCCAAACGUUAAUGAGCACUCACCACCCAUUCGCCCCAAACCAUGUCUCGUAGACUAGACAACUCUUUCAUAUCUACGUAGCGAGGCAAGCAGUCUACACCUAAGCAGUCAGCUGCCUCUUGCACCUGUCCA